RNAcentral lists this ribosomal RNA (293 nucleotides) under uncultured eukaryote. Its description in RNAcentral is "partial 18S ribosomal RNA". It matches the Rfam family "Eukaryotic small subunit ribosomal RNA", at positions 6 to 277 of the family's 1831-position model. The record is from RNAcentral.
GGUUGAUCCUGCCAGUAGUCAUAUGCUUGUCUCAAAGAUUAAGCCAUGCAUGUCUCAGUACAGGCCUUAAUACGGUGAAACCGCGAAUGGCUCAUUAAAUCAGCUAUGGUUUAUUGGAUCAUACCCGUUAAAUGGAUAACUGUAAUAACCCUAGAGCUAAUACAUGCCUCGAAGCCCUGACCCAGUUUCGGCUGGGAAUGGGUGCACUUAUUAGAUCAGAAGCCAACUAGCCGGGUGUAUGCCUGGCUAAAGCACUUCUGGUGACUCUGGAUAAUUGUUACAGAUCGCAGUCG